This 334-nucleotide unclassified non-coding RNA is filed under the name soil metagenome. RNAcentral describes it as "partial contains 5.8S ribosomal RNA, internal transcribed spacer 2, and large subunit ribosomal RNA". The stretch from base 1 to 120 matches the Rfam family "5.8S ribosomal RNA", at positions 35 to 154 of the family's 154-position model. The record is from RNAcentral.
GAUGAAUAACGUAGCGAAAUGCGAUAAGUAAUGUGAAUUGCAGAAUUCAGUGAAUCAUCGAAUCUUUGAACGCACAUUGCGCCCGCCAGUAUUCUGGCGGGCAUGCCUGUUCGAGCGUCAUUUCAACCAUCAAGCCCUGCUUGCGUUGGGGUCCUGCGGCUGCCCGCAGGCCCUGAAAACCAGUGGCGGGCUCGCUAGUCACACCGAGCGCAGUAAUACAUCUCGCUUUGGGCGUGCGGCGGGUUCUUGCCGUUAAACACCCCCUUUUUACCAAGGUUGACCUCGGAUCAGGUAGGAAUACCCGCUGAACUUAAGCAUAUCAAUAAGCGGAGGA